ACACAUUUAACAAGUACAAUUUGGUAAAGGCCCAGAAACAGUGUUGCUGUAAUAGAAGUUGAUUGAAUUUGGAUUUACUACUUUAAGCAACUAGGCCCCACUAGAACUCUUGAUCUUAAGUACAUCAUCAUUGAGUACAGUAACUUUCUCAGCCUGCUUCAAACUUAGCAGUAUGAAGACUUCUCUUCCAUUCAAUCACAGAAAUGCCCUAAGGGCAGAAGAAGAGAGAAACAUUUGAAAACUCUUCUAACAUCUUAACAUAUGUUUACAUUUCCUAUUCAUCUUGUAUACCUGGUCUUUUUUUUUUAAGGGGACAGAAAAUAUGGUGCCAGAAUUCUAUAUGGAGAAGGAACUCAUCAUGCCUAUUCAAUUUUCUCUCCUACUACACUACAAACAGGAAUUCUGCUCCAAUCAGGCUCUGACAAUGAGGCGGCCCCUCUUGCCAAAGCCAGCUCUUCUAUGGAUGUUCUUGAUCCCAUCACCUCCUGUGACAUCUCUUCUCUGAUGCUGCCAUUACCCUGGUACAGACCUUCAUCACCUCACACCUGAACUACUACAAUAUUUACUGACACUAACCAGUACUAUUGAACUGAGUUGAAGCCUUCCCCAUCCUCAUUGCUGAGCAGGCAGAUUAAUGAUCCUCUUCAGGAAAUUGCAGGCAACAACCUGCCUUCUGGUCUGCGUAACAGGCCACUGAGGCUGAAUCCAGGAGAAUUUCAAGAGAAUCCAAAGGUCCCACAAAGAUGAAACAGUAUUGCAGAAACAUCUAUGACAGUGCUGUCAGAUGGGCAGUUCAGGGGUUGCGUGGAAGCUGAGCUGUUUUCUUUGACCAACUGUGUUCUGGAGUAUAGGUUUCAUCACUGGGAGACUUUGAGCAAGCCACUAUAUUUUGCUUUGCCUGAGUUUUCAUUUA
Phascolarctos cinereus (koala) is the source of this 913-nucleotide long non-coding RNA. RefSeq lists it as uncharacterized. The record is from RefSeq and is a predicted model, not a curated record. NCBI's taxonomy places the organism in Eukaryota, Metazoa, Chordata, Mammalia, Diprotodontia, Phascolarctidae.